RNAcentral lists this ribosomal RNA (497 nucleotides) under uncultured bacterium. Its description in RNAcentral is "partial 16S ribosomal RNA". It matches the Rfam family "Bacterial small subunit ribosomal RNA", at positions 28 to 507 of the family's 1533-position model. The record is from RNAcentral.
GAUGAACGCUGGCGGCGUGCCUAAUACAUGCAAGUCGAGCGAACAGACGAGGAGCUUGCUCCUCUGACGUUAGCGGCGGACGGGUGAGUAACACGUGGAUCACCUACCUAUAAGACUGGGAUAACUUCGGGAAACCGGAGCUAAUACCGGAUAAUAUAUUGAACCGCAUGGUUCAAUAGUGAAAGACGGUGUUGCUGUCACUUCUAGAUGGUUCCGCGCCGCAUUAGCUAGUUGGUAAGGUAACGGCUUACCAAGGCAACGAUGCGUAGCCGACCUGAGAGGGUGAUCGGCCACCCUGGAACUGAGACACGGUCCAGACUCCUACGGGAGGCAGCAGUAGGGAAUCUGCCGCAAUGGGCGAAAGCCUUACGGAGCAACGCCGCGUGAGUGAUGAAGGUCUUCGGAUCGUAAAACUCUGUUAUUAGUGAAGAACAAAUGUGUAAGUAACUAUGCACGUCUUGACGGUACCUAAUCAGAAAGCCACGGCUAACUACGUG